RNAcentral lists this ribosomal RNA (1155 nucleotides) under uncultured Actinomycetaceae bacterium. RNAcentral describes it as "bacterial SSU rRNA". The stretch from base 1 to 871 matches the Rfam family "Bacterial small subunit ribosomal RNA". The record is from RNAcentral. Lineage: Bacteria; Bacillati; Actinomycetota; Actinomycetes; Actinomycetales; Actinomycetaceae.
GACGAACGCUGGCGGCGUGCCUAAUACAUGCAAGUAGAACGCUGAAGAGAGGAGCUUGCUCUUCUUGGAUGAGUUGCGAACGGGUGAGUAACGCGUAGGUAACCUGCCUGGUAGCGGGGGAUAACUAUUGGAAACGAUAGCUAAUACCGCAUAAAAUUAAUUAUUGCAUGAUAAUUAAUUGAAAGAUGCAAUUGCAUCACUACCAGAUGGACCUGCGUUGUAUUAGCUAGUUGGUGAGGUAACGGCUCACCAAGGCGACGAUACAUAGCCGACCUGAGAGGGUGAUCGGCCACACUGGGACUGAGACACGGCCCAGACUCCUACGGGAGGCAGCAGUAGGGAAUCUUCGGCAAUGGGGGGAACCCUGACCGAGCAACGCCGCGUGAGUGAAGAAGGUUUUCGGAUCGUAAAGCUCUGUUGUAAGAGAAGAACGGGUGUGAGAGUGGAAAGUUCACACUGUGACGGUAUCUUACCAGAAAGGGACGGCUAACUACGUGCCAGCAGCCGCGGUAAUACGUAGGUCCCGAGCGUUGUCCGGAUUUAUUGGGCGUAUAUCGAGCGCAGGCGGUAGAUAAUUCUGAAGUUAUGGGCUGUGGCUUAACCAUAGUUUGCUUUGGAAACUGUUUAACUUGAGUUGCAAAGGGAGAGUGGAAUUCCCUGUUGUAGCGUUGAAAUGCGUAUAUAUAUGGAGGAACACCCGGUGGCGAAAGCGGCUCUCUGUGCUGUAUUUGACGCUGAUGUUCGUAGCGUGUGGAGCAUAUAGGAUUAUAUACCCCUGUUUGUCCUAGGGUGUGUUUCCCCUUUGUAUUUGAUGCUUUUCGACCUGUCGACUGCGUGUGUGUGAUUCAUAAAAAUAAUAAUUAUUUUCUCUUUUAUGAAGGCUUCUUACCCCCUGCUUGUGAUGCUGUCUUUCUGUCUCUGUGUUGUUUGUGUUGCUUGCCUGUUCUGUGGCUCGCCCAAUGCCAUGUAUAUGUAUCUAUUAUAUAUUUUAUUCUCUAUGAACUGUUCUUGUCUUAGCUUUUCCUUUAGCCUUAAUGUUAUGUGCUGAUAUACUGCUAUAAUUACUCCCUAGUACUACUUGACUCUUGUUGUGUUUUAUUACUCCUAGUAGCUUGAUACGCAUUUGAUGGCUAGUAUCUAAUAUAUGGCUUAGUC